UAGGGAAUAUUGGGCAAUGGGUGCGAGCCUGACCCAGCCAUGCCGCGUGCAGGAAGACGGCCCUCAGGGUUGUAAACUGCUUUUCUACGGGAAGAAAGAGGGUCUGCGGGUCCAGUUGACGGUACCGUAGGAAUAAGCACCGGCUAACUCCGUGCCAGCAGCCGCGGUAAUACGGAGGGUGCAAGCGUUGUCCGGAUUUAUUGGGUUUAAAGGGUACGUAGGCGGGUGUCUAAGUCAGUGGUGAAAGCCUGCAGCUCAACUGUAGAAUUGCCAUUGAUACUGGAUAUCUUGAGUGCAGUAGAGGUGGGCAGAAUUCAUGGUGUAGCGGUGAAAUGCAUAGAUACCAUGAGGAAUACCGAUAGGGGAGCCAGCUCACUGGACUGUUACUGACGCUAAGGUACGAAAGCGUGGGGAGCGAACA
RNAcentral lists this ribosomal RNA (421 nucleotides) under uncultured bacterium. RNAcentral describes it as "bacterial SSU rRNA". It matches the Rfam family "Bacterial small subunit ribosomal RNA", at positions 355 to 774 of the family's 1533-position model. The record is from RNAcentral.